GAAUGGUAAAACCAAUGUUGGGCAUUGCUGGAGGAGUUUUAUUCAAGGCGAACUGUCAAGGGGUUCCCAUUAUAACCCAACCGUGUAAGGAACGCAAAAUCCGGGAACAUAACACCGAUAUGAUGGAAACUAGGGCGGCAAGAGUGGAACAAAACACCAGGCAUAAGGUCGAGCCUUCCACCCUUUACCAAGUAUAUAGAUGCAUUAAUUA
RNAcentral lists this ribosomal RNA (211 nucleotides) under Triticum aestivum (bread wheat). RNAcentral describes it as "partial small subunit ribosomal RNA". The record is from RNAcentral. Lineage: Eukaryota; Viridiplantae; Streptophyta; Magnoliopsida; Poales; Poaceae.